CGGAGCGGAGCGGAGCGGGCACCAUGUCGGGCCGAGAGGGCGGCAAGAAGAAGCCGCUGAAGCAGCCCAAGAAGCAGUCGAAGGACCUGGAUGAGACAGAUCUGGCAUUUAAACAAAAGCAGAAGGAGGAGCAAAAGAAACUUGAGGAGAUGAAAGCAAAGGCUGCUGGAAAAGGGCCCCUCACUAGUGGUGGAAUAAAGAAGUCUGGCAAAAAGUAGUUUGAUCAAACUGCAGGGCAAGAAGUGAUCAAGUUACUCAAUGGAUCUGCAGACUUCAGAGAGUCACGAAAACUCACUGUCAUUUGAAAAAAAUUGUACAUUUUGUUUAGUCAGAAUAAAUUUUUUUGUUAAGAUGUAAUAUUUAAUCUCUUUACCUGUAGGUUUUGUUUUAAAAAUGGCAUUACUGUUUUAUACUGGAAAUGAAACUUUUACUGAAGACCACUUGUGACCUUAUGCAGCCUGAGUGCAUCUGCUGGUUUGGUAGUCAUUUGUGAGAAUAAAU
Gavia stellata (red-throated loon) is the source of this 501-nucleotide long non-coding RNA. RefSeq lists it as uncharacterized. Lineage: Eukaryota; Metazoa; Chordata; Aves; Gaviiformes; Gaviidae. The record is from RefSeq and is a predicted model, not a curated record. The transcript is spliced from 4 exons.